Molecule: unclassified non-coding RNA, 269 nt
Filed under: Glomus sp.
Lineage: Eukaryota; Fungi; Glomeromycota; Glomeromycetes; Glomerales; Glomeraceae
Description: partial contains 5.8S ribosomal RNA and internal transcribed spacer 2
Rfam family: 5.8S ribosomal RNA (bases 1-65)
Source: RNAcentral
GUGAAUCAUCAAAUUUUUGAACGCAAAUUGCACUCUCCUCGGAGAGUGUGCCUGUUUGAGGGUCAGCCUAUAAAAAAUCGACAUCGUUGCUGUUUCGCGGUGGCGUUCGGCGGAAAUUGGGAUAUCUUAAAUCCUUUUGGGUUUUAAGCGGCUUAAAAUUUUCUUUUUGGUUCUAUGAACGGUUCUGAGGUUUAUUUCUUUACACGUUUAAGGUAUCGCUUUUUAUUAGCAGUGACCAUCAUAUCGGAUCGCGUCGAUAAUCUUUCAUU